AACGAACGCUGGCGGCAUGCCUAACACAUGCAAGUCGAACGAGACCUUCGGGUCUAGUGGCGCACGGGUGCGUAACGCGUGGGAACCUGCCCUUAGGUUCGGAAUAACUCCCCGAAAGGGGUGCUAAUACCGGAUAAUGUCUUCGGACCAAAGAUUUAUCGCCUUUGGAUGGGCCCGCGUUGGAUUAGCUAGUUGGUAGGGUAAAAGCCUACCAAGGCGACGAUCCAUAGCUGGUCUGAGAGGAUGAUCAGCCACACUGGGACUGAGACACGGCCCAGUCUCCUACGGGAGGCAGCAGUGGGGAAUAUUGGACAAUGGGCGAAAGCCUGAUCCAGCAAUGCCGCGUGAGUGAUGAAGGCCUUAGGGUUGUAAAGCUCUUUUACCCGGGAUGAUAAUGACAGUACCGGGAGAAUAAGCUCCGGCUAACUCCGUA
Molecule: ribosomal RNA, 433 nt
Filed under: uncultured bacterium
Lineage: Bacteria
Description: partial 16S ribosomal RNA
Rfam family: Bacterial small subunit ribosomal RNA
Source: RNAcentral